UACGGGGGGAGCAAGCGUUGUUCGGAAUUACUGGGCGUAAAGGGUUUGUAGGUGGCUCGCUAAGUCACACGUGAAAUCCCUCAGCUUAACUGGGGAACUGCGUGUGAAACUGGCAAGCUUGAGGACAGGAGAGGAACGCGGAAUUCCAGGUGUAGCGGUGAAAUGCGUAGAUAUCUGGAGGAACACCGGUGGCGAAGGCGGCGUUCUGGACUGUUUCUGACACUGAUAAACGAAAGCCAGGGGAGCAAACGGG
RNAcentral lists this ribosomal RNA (253 nucleotides) under uncultured bacterium. RNAcentral's name for it is "partial 16S ribosomal RNA". It matches the Rfam family "Bacterial small subunit ribosomal RNA", at positions 524 to 776 of the family's 1533-position model. The record is from RNAcentral.